CCCUGAUAGACGAGGAACAGUACAAUGC
RNAcentral lists this small RNA (28 nucleotides) under Bombyx mori (domestic silkworm). Its description in RNAcentral is "ovarian small RNA-13741". Lineage: Eukaryota; Metazoa; Arthropoda; Insecta; Lepidoptera; Bombycidae. The record is from RNAcentral.